Molecule: transfer RNA, 63 nt
Filed under: Staphylinoidea sp. 9 KM-2017
Lineage: Eukaryota; Metazoa; Arthropoda; Insecta; Coleoptera
Description: tRNA-Ala
Source: RNAcentral
AGGGUAAUAGUUAAUUAUAACAUUUAAAUUGCAUUUAAAAAGUAUUGAAAUCAAUUUACCUUA